RNAcentral lists this ribosomal RNA (508 nucleotides) under uncultured bacterium. RNAcentral's name for it is "bacterial SSU rRNA". It matches the Rfam family "Bacterial small subunit ribosomal RNA", at positions 15 to 518 of the family's 1533-position model. The record is from RNAcentral.
GAUCCUGGCUUAGGAUGAACGCUAGCGGCAGGCUAACACAUGCAAGUCGAGGGGCAUCGGGAGUAGCAAUACUGCCGGCGACCGGCGCAAGGGUGCGUAACGCGUGAGCAACAUGCCCGUAUCAGGGGGAUAAUCCAUGGAAACGUGGUCUAAUACCCCAUAGUAAUUAUGUAAGGCAUCUUAUAUAAUUUAAAGCUUUGGUGGAUACGGAUUGGCUCGCGUGACAUUAGCUAGAUGGUAAGGUAACGGCUUACCAUGGCUACGAUGUCUAGGGGUUCUGAGAGGAAGGUCCCCCCACACUGGAACUGAGACACGGUCCAGACUCCUACGGGAGGCAGCAGUGAGGAAUAUUGGACAAUGGAUGGAAAUCUGAUCCAGCCAUGCCGCGUGCAAGGAAGACGGCCCUAUGGGUUGCAAACUGCUUUUGUAUGGGAGCAAUAAGGGCUACGCGUAGUCCGAUGAGAGUACCAUACGAAUAAGCACCGGCUAACUCCGUGCCAGCCGCAGC